This 1010-nucleotide long non-coding RNA is filed under the name Neogale vison (American mink). RNAcentral describes it as "Neovison vison (American mink) lncRNA (ENSNVIG00000013229.1)". Lineage: Eukaryota; Metazoa; Chordata; Mammalia; Carnivora; Mustelidae. The record is from RNAcentral.
CGCUAGAGGGACUGACUAGGAGAAGCCAGUGUUGCCCAGGGUUGGUGUGCUGAAGACCCCCCCCAAUGCAGUUACAGUUGGUAAGAGGCAGCCCUGCACAGAGAGGAUGGGGACAACCCAAGAUGGACCUUUGCUGUAAAUGUGUGCCUCAUGUCCAGAGGUUUAAACCCUCCUGACUCUUCUAGAGAGGAGACAAGAGAACUCAGGGGCACAGCUGUAGAUGCAGGACUGAUGCCAUCUGGUGCAGUUCCACAGAAAAAGAGAUAAAAUUUACCCAGAGUGUGCCAUGCACUGGCUUUUCUGGGAAUGACAAGGUGCCAGGAUUUGUUUUUGGUUCAUUUGCCGGGGUGGAAACUUGAAACGAGGUGAGUAAAAUACAUGCAAUAUCCCCAUUUAUAACUUGACAUUUUGUAUUUCCAAUUCUGUUUGUAGUUUCAAAAUAAGUGCAAAAGAGCUAAUUUUUUUUAAUGGCCCAACAUUUAAACAUUGUAAAUAGUUAAACCAUUUAGGAUAAUGGGGAAUGUUUACUUUUUCUAACUCAUACCUCUAAUCUAGGGACUUCUAGAAUGCUAAUGGUACUAAUGCAGUACAUAGGAAAUACAGACAGAUUACUGUACUUUGGUUUUGAUCUUUGUAGCUACUCUGAGGUAGAUGUGCUUAUUUAAGCUAAAACUCCAAUUAAAACUCUGGUAUCAUUAGGAAAUCACUGUCAGGUGUCUGUGUCACAUACAAGGGAAAGUGAAAAAUUGAGUUGCAGACCUUUCAAGUUAAUUUUUUGGUGGGGGGUUUGAAUCAGUGAAAUCAGUUCUCAACACUACAUUUCUUACUUUGUCCACACAAAAUAAGAUUGUAGAUUAAAUAGUGAUCUGAUUAAUUAUCUGAGUAGUUAGCAUCUUACUGCAUAGGAAUGUGGGCAAUCAGGGUAGACCUGUGCUUAGAACGAUAGCCAGAACAUUACAGGCACUCAGAAAAAACUUCCUGUUGAAUUAAGCUAAAAAUAUUCUUGUUUU